GACGAACGCUGGCGGCGUGCUUAACACAUGCAAGUCGAACGGAAAGGCCCUGCUUUUGUGGGGUGCUCGAGUGGCGAACGGGUGAGUAACACGUGAGUAACCUGCCCUUGACUUUGGUAUAACUUCAGGAAACUGGGGCUAAUACCGGAUAGGAGCUCCUGCUGCAUGGUGGGGGUUGGAAAGUUUCGGCGGUUGGGGAUGGACUCGCGGCUUAUCAGCUUGUUGGUGGGGUAGUGGCUUACCAAGGCUUUGACGGGUAGCCGGCCUGAGAGGGUGACCGGCGACAUGGGUACUGAGAGACGGCCCAGACGCGUACGGGAGGCAGUAGGGGGGAAUAUGGCACAAUGGGCGGAAGCCUGAUGCAGAAACGCCGCGUGCGGGAUGACGGCCUUCGGGUUGUAAACCGCUGUCGCCUGUGACGAAGCGUGAGUGACGGUAAUGGGUAAAGAAGCACCGGCUAACUACGUG
This 468-nucleotide ribosomal RNA is filed under the name uncultured bacterium. RNAcentral describes it as "partial 16S ribosomal RNA". It matches the Rfam family "Bacterial small subunit ribosomal RNA", at positions 28 to 507 of the family's 1533-position model. The record is from RNAcentral.